This 433-nucleotide ribosomal RNA is filed under the name uncultured bacterium. RNAcentral's name for it is "partial 16S ribosomal RNA". It matches the Rfam family "Bacterial small subunit ribosomal RNA", at positions 29 to 507 of the family's 1533-position model. The record is from RNAcentral.
AACGAACGCUGGCGGCAUGCCUAACACAUGCAAGUCGAACGAGACCUUCGGGUCUAGUGGCGCACGGGUGCGUAACGCGUGGGAACCUGCCCUUAGGUUCGGAAUAACUCCCCGAAAGGGGUGCUAAUACCGGAUAAUUUCUUCGGACCAAAGAUUUAUCGCCUUUGGAUGGGCCCGCGUUGGAUUAGCUAGUUGGUAGGGUAAAAGCCUACCAAGGCGACGAUCCAUAGCUGGUCUGAGAGGAUGAUCAGCCACACUGGGACUGGGACACGGCCCAGACUCCUACGGGAGGCAGCAGUGGGGAAUAUUGGACAAUGGGCGAAAGCCUGAUCCAGCAAUGCCGCGUGAGUGAUGAAGGCCUUAGGGUUGUAAAGCUCUUUUACCCGGGAUGAUAAUGACAGUACCGGGAGAAUAAGCGCCGGCUAACUCCGUG